AUUGAACGCUGGCGGCAGGCUUAACACAUGCAAGUCGAGCGGUAACAGAGAGAAGCUUGCUUCUCUGCUGACGAGCGGCGGACGGGUGAGUAAUGCCUAGGAAUCUGCCUAGUAGUGGGGGAUAACUUGCCGAAAGGUAAGCUAAUACCGCAUACGUCCUACGGGAGAAAGGAGGGGACCUUCGGGCCUUUCGCCAUUAGACGAGCCUAGGUAGGAUUAGUUAGUUGGUGAGGUAAUGGCGCACCAAGACCGCGAUCCGUAACUGGUCUGAGAGGAUGAUCAGUCACACUGGAACUGAGACACGGUCCAGACUCCUACGGGAGGCAGCAGUGGGGAAUAUUGGACAAUGGGGGGAACCCUGAUCCAGCCAUGCCGCGUGUGUGAAGAAGGUCUUAGGAUCGUAAGGCACUUUAAGUUGGGAGGAAGAGCAGUUAACUAAUAUUUGACUGUUUUGACGUUACCGACAGAAUAAGCACCGGCUAACUUCGUGCCAGCCGCCGCCGUAA
Molecule: ribosomal RNA, 506 nt
Filed under: uncultured bacterium
Lineage: Bacteria
Description: partial 16S ribosomal RNA
Rfam family: Bacterial small subunit ribosomal RNA
Source: RNAcentral